Molecule: long non-coding RNA, 3791 nt
Organism: Neofelis nebulosa (Clouded leopard)
Lineage: Eukaryota; Metazoa; Chordata; Mammalia; Carnivora; Felidae
Exons: 6
Source: RefSeq, a predicted model, not a curated record
GACCCGCACAUCCUCCGCGCAGCUUCGGCACGGCGCAGUGUCAGCCAAUGAGGAGAGCGAGUGCUUCCAGUAGCCAAUAAAAAUCGAUAUGUAAAUCACCUCGGAGAGUUGGUGUACGCUGAUGGGACCAGGACCUUGGUGCCUGGGUAACGAGCUGGAGGCGAGGUGACCUGGAGAUUGUAUUAUUUUUUAGGUAAUCCCUACACCCAACGUGGGGCUUGAGCUCACAACCUGGAGAUCAAGAGUAGCAUGCUCCACCAACUGAGCCAGCCAGGCAACCCUAUCUAUGAGAUUUCUUAAGAACAAUAUAAUUUUGUAAUUUGACAAGGACCUGCACCUCUACCUUAUGCAUGCUUUAGUGUAUGUCUUUCUGAUAAGGGACAAGGAGUUAAUGAUUUCUUUGGAGUCUUCCAGCAGAGUAGAUAACAUCUAAGGAGUGACCAGGCAAGAAUGAGCAGAAGGCUGAUUGGUAACACACAUCAUCCAGGGAACCUAUGUUUUGAUACAAGGGAACCUAUAUUUUGAUACAAGAAUAUUUUUCUCUAAGAUGAAUCAUGAUUGACUUCUUCUUUGAUCUCCUACCCUUCUUUCUUACAAAGGCAAAGUUUGGUGUCAAGAAGAACAUAUGAACUUAGUAUGAGGAAAGUAGGCUUUACACCCAGUGUGGAGUGCAGUGUGGGGCUUGAAGUCACAGCCCUGAGAUCAAGACCUGAGCUGAGAUUAAGAGUUGAAUGCUAAAUGACUGAGCCAUCCAGGUACCCUGGAGCGUGAAUCUGAUGUGGACCUUCCUCCACCUUCUCUUCCUGGAGCAAACUCUUCACCCCAGGCCUGCUCUCCUUUACAAAACAUACAGACAACACCAGGUCCUGGGUCCCUGGAGGACACCACCGAUACUGUGAGGUGAUGGUGAGGUGAUGGUGGCUGAUGCACAGGGGUAAAUGCAAGAUGAUCAACACCUUCAUUCAUGAGGAUGUGGCCACGUUGGCAUAUUUCUGCAGAAUUCCACCUCUGCCCUCUACCAACAGCUGCUGCGUGCACAACGGUCACAAAAGUACUCACGAUGUCAGUGUGCUUUGCCGCAUAGGAACCAGACCCCUGCACUGCUAUUACCACCUUAGGCCCAUCCCUGUAGGCUGUGAGGACGGGGCACCUGUUCACCUGGAUGGCUAGAUGACUCCUGCACCUCACACAGGAAGCUAAGUGACUUGCACCCCACACCUCCAAACGUUUGAGGCCCUGGCCAAAGACUUCCCUGUAAUGCUUCUCCCCUCGUAUAGGGGUCUCUCAUUGUAACCAUUCAUGUGCACUUCCUGCAUCUCUCUCCCAGCCUCUGCCCCCAAAUCACCACUCCACUGGACACGCCGGCCACGGUGUCAUUUUUUUUUGGUGCAAGAUAAAAUGGGGGUGGAGGAGUUGGGGAGAGCCUGGGUAAUGGGCAUCUACUGUGGAAAAGCCUUGCUCUCACUGGGUGGCUACACAGGCCCCGCUGGCCGGGCAGAUUUGCCCACAAGGUGCUCUGGUAACAACUCGCAGUGGCACUGGCCCUAGGCAGCCCUGAGUGGUCCGGCUCACAAGGUCUUUCUUCCCCACCUUCAGCUCCCUUCUCCCCAGCGGGCUCCUGCGGAGGGGAUUAGGGACAACAUCCAACGGGGGAAGCCCGCUGCCUUUCCAGAAACAAAGCCCUGAAGCUGGGAAACAGCACUGGAAGGAGCCGCUACCUGGAGGAGAGAAGUGGUGAAGCAGGGACUCUGGCAGGUGCUCGCGGCCGCCUCAUUGGCCCGCAGGGGGCGCUGCGCCACCUGAAUCCGUUGGCCAAGCACAGAGACCAGAAAUUUUUCCUGGGUUGGUGGGUUGGAAGUUUUGUGGUUACAAACACACGGCUGGGGGAUAACAGGUGAAGAAGCAGAAAAUUCAGCCGAUAUGAUUACAGUCUAACUUUCAAAGAACAGAUUUCUGAAUUUUAUCAUAACUUUCAUGCUCUCAUGCUCUUUAGUAUUGAAUUUACCACCUUCAGAUUUACAUUCCAGCACUGUAGAUAUGAAGGAAAGAAAAGAUUAAGUACAGAGCAGCUACUUAUGCUAUAAGCUUUACAGUUUCACUGUACUGGAAAAGAGUUUGUUUCAUUUUUUUUUUAAUUUUUAAUGUUCAUUUAUUUUUGACAGAGAGACAGAGAGCAAGUAGGAGAGGGGCAGAGAGAGAGGGAGACACAGAAUCCGAAGCAGGCUUCAGGCUCUAAGCUCUAACCCACAAAUCAUGACCUGACCCCGUCAGGGUCAUGACCUGACGCGAAGUCAGAUGCCCAACAAACCGAGUCACCCAGGCGCCCCAGUUUGUUUAAUCUUGUAAUCUAUUGUAUACACACUUCAUUUCUUUUCUUUGUUUUUCUUUUUUUAAAAGUGUGCACCAUGCCCAAAGACCCCUGAGAUCAAGAGUUGCAUGCUUUAUCCUUGGAGCCGUCCAGGUGCCCCUACACAAUCCAUUUCUGAAGGCAGUUUUUCUACCCGCAAGAGGGAGAAUCUGUAGGUGACUUUCUUCUCUACCCUGUGACUCCACCAAAAUCGUGUCAAGGCUUUAAGUCAAAGGAAGGCACCUGACUCUAGGGCAGCCAUCCAUGGACUGACAGGCUGGGUGCCCAUGAAAGAAACUGGUCUGGAGAUUUUACUGUCCUGGAAUAAGGUUGACAAAACUGGAUACUCUUAUUUUCAUUUCCCCCCAUAAUUCCAGGAGCUGUGAUUGUAUUGUCUUCGUUUGUGACCUUUAGCACAUAGCCUAUUGCUUGCUAUAAGAGAGCUUUCAAUAAAUCUUUAAUGGGCCAUUGUAAUAGGUCCUGCUGGUGCUAAGGAUUUUUUGCAGAUUCUGUUUUCAGAAUGGGAAAGUUCCCUUCCCUUCUGCUCUCCGUUGCCACCUGUAAAUGGAUUGUGAAUUUGUUGAAUAAUUUUUCUUCAUCUGAUGACACAGUCAUAUACUAUUUCCGUCCUAAUCAGUUAAUGGAGUGGAAUUGAAUAAAAUUUCUGGACAUAAGCAACUCCAUUUUGAAGCUCUAUUUUCCUUGUCAACUAAUGAACUCUUGGACUGGGCCAGAAGCCACAAUGGUUUUACAAGCAGUUCCUCAUAAAAUUUCAAAUGAGCAACUGGCAUUAGGAUCAUGUGAGGACAGGAGAGUUAAUUAAUACAUACCAGUGACCGUUUCAUUUGAUAGCACCAAUAAAGUAAUCAGUAAGAUAGUAAUCAGAAGCGGUUCAAUCAAUUAGCACCAAAUUACCUGUUUUUUUCUUCCUUCUCUUAUCUAAAGCAUGUAAUUACCCCUUCCUUCUUUCUCAUAAAAAACCCCCAGUUUUCCCCACCUGAGGGGGCACUUUUCUGGUUACCCUUAAAUCUAGUCCCACAUUGUAACUCUGAGACCCCAAAUAAAAGCCUUUGCUCUUCUUCUUUUUCUUUUAAAAUUUAUUUAUUUGAGAGAGAAAGAGAAAAAGAGAACGGGGUAGGGGCAAAGAGAGAGGAGAGAGAGAAUCUCAAGCAGGAUCUGCAUUGUCAGGGAAGAGCCUGAUUCCAGGCUCUAUCCCACAAACCACAAAAUCAUGACCUGAGCAGAAAUCAAGAGUCAGAUGUUCAAUGGACUGAGCCACCCAGGUGCCCCACCUUUGUUCUUUUUCACUUCUGCCUUAUUUUCUUGGUUAAUUCUGGGUGAAUUGCAUUAGUUGAUUUUAGACUAUUAGACCAGCUUUGAGAUAAAUCCAUUUUGGUUAUGCUAAACUGUCUUUUUAUAUAUAAAUGAAUUUACUUUGCUAAUA